Molecule: RNA transcript, 2230 nt
Organism: Eublepharis macularius
Lineage: Eukaryota; Metazoa; Chordata; Lepidosauria; Squamata; Eublepharidae
Gene: THOC3
Gene name: THO complex subunit 3
Exons: 10
Source: RefSeq, a predicted model, not a curated record
UUCUCGCCCCGCAUAUGGAGGAUUUUCUUGGUAAUCCAAAAUCCCAUUGAGUUUGAAGAGAAUAGGGUGGGUUUAUUUACUGGAUGAAUCCGAUGACGUUCCGGAAGUGUGACAUUUGUCCCCGGAAGGGAAAGCCGGGGAAGGAGUGGGGUCCGGCUCAUUCUGGUCCGGUUGUCAUGGCGCUUUCCCCGUACGUGUUGGCCAUGCAGGAAUUAUUCCGGGCCAACACGCGCAGCCGCGAAUUCCCCGCGCACGGGGCGAAGGUGCACUCGGUGGCUUGGAGCUGUUGCGGCCGCCGCCUGGCUUCGGGCUCCUUCGACAAGACGGCCAGCGUCUUCGUGCUCGAAAAGGACCGCCUGGUAAAGGAGAAUAACUACCGUGGCCAUGGAGACAGUGUGGAUCAGUUAUGCUGGCACCCUAGUAACCCAGAUUUAUUUGUCACUGCAUCUGGAGACAAAACCAUCCGUAUAUGGGAUGUCCGCACCACUAAGUGCAUUGCCACUGUGAACACCAAAGGGGAGAACAUAAAUAUUUGCUGGAGCCCUGAUGGGCAGACUAUUGCAGUAGGGAACAAGGAUGAUGUGGUCACCUUCAUUGAUGCAAAAACACAUCGGUCCAAAGCUGAGGAGCAGUUCAAGUUUGAGGUGAAUGAGAUCUCCUGGAACAAUGACAACAACAUGUUUUUCCUCACCAAUGGCAAUGGCUGCAUCAACAUCCUCAGCUAUCCAGAGCUCAAACCUAUUCAGUCGAUAAACGCCCAUCCAUCAAACUGCAUUUGCAUUAAGUUUGAUCCCAUGGGAAAGUAUUUUGCUACAGGCAGUGCUGAUGCACUAGUAAGCCUCUGGGAUGUGGAUGAGCUAGUAUGUGUGCGAUGCUUCUCUAGGCUGGAUUGGCCUGUGAGGACUUUGAGCUUCAGCCAUGAUGGGAAAAUGCUAGCUUCAGCAUCUGAAGAUCACUUUAUUGAUAUUGCUGAAGUGGAAACAGGGGAGAAGCUCUGGGAAGUGCAGUGUGAGUCCCCAACCUUCACAGUGGCUUGGCACCCAAAGCGACCUCUGCUGGCCUUCGCCUGUGAUGACAAGGAUGGAAAAUAUGACAGUAGCAGGGAAGCAGGCACUGUGAAGCUCUUUGGUCUCCCUAAUGACUCCUAAAAAAAGGCUGCUGGAGACUGUAUCUAUUUGUCACCUUGAAUUCUGAGCCAGGGCAAGGAUGUUCACCAGCCAUAUUUGCUGUGGCUCUAUUCUGGGAUUGCUGUGGUUUCUAAAAUAGGAGCUCUACCACAGCCUUAUAUUCCCUCAUCCAUAAAGUCAGCUUUUUGAGGUUCUUGAAAACCACCUGAUUGUCCUAGAGGGCACAGAGACUGGCCAACCAAAUUCUCUUCCCUUGUCCUGGGGCAUUUCUAUUUUUUUACAGCAAGAGUGGGCAGGAGGACAGCCUUCACUCCUCUGCCUGUUCAGGGGCCGUAGCAGGCAAGGCCUCCUGCAGAUCUUGGUGACUGAUCAUCCCUUCUCAUAUUCCAUUGAGGACGGGAAGGCUGAGUGCAAGUCUCUGUUGUCACAUUUGAAGCCUUCCUUUCUGCUUGGAGAAUGGUUAACUCGCCCUUUUUGGAGGCAAGUACUGUCGUAUGCACCUGUUGUCCCCUGCUGCUGCUGCUGCUUCAGCAUCAGUUGUGACUUGGAUCCUGUGACAAGUCUUGAAGAUGUCAUCCAUGUGCCUGAUUAAUCUGAGUGUGACCUGAAGUAGUUGUGCAGUGGCUGAUGGAUCUAUAUAUGCGGGGCCGAAAAAGGAAUGAAUUCACCCAAGCACAAAAGAUUGUUGCCAUCUUCCAACAAGAAUACCUACCACUGAAGCAGGAAACAAACCAGCCAGAGCUCCUCUUGCCCCUCUCUUCCUCACCUUCUGACCCAAGCAAGAACCAGGAAAGGCCUCCCUCUGUAGUCUGGAGAAAGAACAUCAAUGUGUAUUUCUCUGAAGGUGGUAUAUGUGGGCUGUACACAGCACUGAAGGUGGCACAGGAGAGAAGCUACAUGGAGAGACAUCUCUUCAGUGUUCAGCUAGCCAGUCUGUGGCACUCAUCUGCAAACAUUCUAGCCUGGUAUAUAAACUCUUUCACACCCCAGUACACAAAGCACUGCCUAACACUGCCAAUACAUUCAGUCUGUGCCGGUACUGCUUUGGCUGUAUUAGUGUCUAUUAUUGAUGCUCUGGGUCUGUAUGCCACUCCCCUCCCCAU